This 542-nucleotide ribosomal RNA is filed under the name Corynebacterium striatum. RNAcentral's name for it is "bacterial SSU rRNA". It matches the Rfam family "Bacterial small subunit ribosomal RNA", at positions 533 to 1075 of the family's 1533-position model. Lineage: Bacteria; Bacillati; Actinomycetota; Actinomycetes; Mycobacteriales; Corynebacteriaceae. The record is from RNAcentral.
UGCGAGCGUUGUCCGGAAUUACUGGGCGUAAAGAGCUCGUAGGUGGUUUGUCGCGUCGUCUGUGAAAUUCCGGGGCUUAACUCCGGGCGUGCAGGCGAUACGGGCUGACUUGAGUGCUGUAGGGGAGACUGGAAUUCCUGGUGUAGCGGUGAAAUGCGCAGAUAUCAGGAGGAACACCGAUGGCGAAGGCAGGUCUCUGGGCAGUAACUGACGCUGAGGAGCGAAAGCAUGGGUAGCGAACAGGAUUAGAUACCCUGGUAGUCCAUGCCGUAAACGGUGGGCGCUAGGUGUAGGGGGCUUCCACGUCUUCUGUGCCGUAGCUAACGCAUUAAGCGCCCCGCCUGGGGAGUACGGCCGCAAGGCUAAAACUCAAAGGAAUUGACGGGGGCCCGCACAAGCGGCGGAGCAUGUGGAUUAAUUCGAUGCAACGCGAAGAACCUUACCUGGGCUUGACAUAUACAAGACAGGCGUAGAGAUACGUCCUCCCUUGUGGUUUGUAUACAGGUGGUGCAUGGUUGUCGUCAGCUCGUGUCGUGAGAUGU